RNAcentral lists this ribosomal RNA (436 nucleotides) under uncultured bacterium. RNAcentral's name for it is "partial 16S ribosomal RNA". It matches the Rfam family "Bacterial small subunit ribosomal RNA", at positions 29 to 507 of the family's 1533-position model. The record is from RNAcentral.
AACGAACGCUGGCGGCAUGCCUAACACAUGCAAGUCGAACGAGAUCCUUCGGGGUCUAGUGGCGCACGGGUGCGGAACGCGUGGGAAUCUGCCCGUAGGUUCGGAAUAACAGUUAGAAAUGACUGCUAAUACCGGAGGAUGACGUUAAGUCCAAAGAUUUAUCGCCUGAGGAUGAGCCCGCGUAGGAUUAGCUAGUUGGUGUGGUAAAGGCGCACCAAGGCGACGAUCCUUAGCUGGUCUGAGAGGAUGAUCAGCCACACUGGGACUGAGACACGGCCCAGACUCCUACGGGAGGCAGCAGUGGGGAAUAUUGGACAAUGGGCGCAAGCCUGAUCCAGCAAUGCCGCGUGAGUGAUGAAGGCAUUAGGGUUGUAAAGCUCUUUUACCCGAGAUGAUAAUGACAGUAUCGGGAGAAUAAGCCCCGGCUAACUCCGUG